RNAcentral lists this transfer RNA (70 nucleotides) under Cautires sp. UPOL 000090. RNAcentral's name for it is "tRNA-Glu". Lineage: Eukaryota; Metazoa; Arthropoda; Insecta; Coleoptera; Lycidae. The record is from RNAcentral.
GGCUCUUUUUAUAUAGUUUAAAUAAAACAUUACAUUUUCACUGUAAAAUUAAAGGAUUUGUCUUUUAUAA